This 371-nucleotide ribosomal RNA is filed under the name uncultured organism. Its description in RNAcentral is "bacterial SSU rRNA". It matches the Rfam family "Bacterial small subunit ribosomal RNA", at positions 526 to 896 of the family's 1533-position model. The record is from RNAcentral.
CAGAGGGUGCGAGCGUUAAUCGGAAUUACUGGGCGUAAAGCGCGCGUAGGCGGCUUUGCAAGUCGGGUGUGAAAUCCCCAGGCUUAACCUGGGAACUGCAUUCGAGACUGCAUUGCUAGAGUAUGGGAGAGGGAAGUGGAAUUUCCGGUGUAGCGGUGAAAUGCGUAGAUAUCGGAAGGAACAUCAGUGGCGAAAGCGACUUCCUGGACCAAUACUGACGCUCAUGUGCGAAAGCGUGGGGAGCAAACAGGAUUAGAUACCCUGGUAGUCCACGCCAUAAACGAUGAGAACUGGAUGUCGGGAGGGUCUGCCUCUCGGUGUCGUAGCUAACGCGUUAAGUUCUCCGCCUGGGGAGUACGGCCGCAAGGUUG